This is a non-coding RNA of Acanthosepion pharaonis, 112 nucleotides long. NCBI's taxonomy places the organism in Eukaryota, Metazoa, Mollusca, Cephalopoda, Sepiida, Sepiidae. The record is from the annotation of a GenBank genome assembly.
UUACGACCAUAUCACGUUGAAGUAGGGAUUCCGUAUGAUCACCGAAGUUAAGCAACGUCGAGCGUGGUUAGUAUCCAGAUGGAUGACUGCUUGGGGAUAUCAGGUGCUGUAA